RNAcentral lists this long non-coding RNA (1279 nucleotides) under Phasianus colchicus (ring-necked pheasant). RNAcentral's name for it is "lncRNA (ENSPCLG00000017504.1)". The record is from RNAcentral. Lineage: Eukaryota; Metazoa; Chordata; Aves; Galliformes; Phasianidae.
UCACUUAUGGGGCAGGAGAGGCACUUAGGGUUCACUUAUGGGGCACUGGGGGUCACUUAUGGGGCACUUAUGGGUCACUUAUGGGGCAGAGGGGUCACUUAGGGAUCACUUAUAGGGCAGAGGAGGCACUUAUGGGCCACUUAUGGGGCAGGGGAAGCACUUAUGGGUCACUUGUGGGGCAGAGGGGUCANNNNNNNNNNNNNNNNNNNNNNNNNNNNNNNNNNNNNNNNNNNNNNNNNCCCCCCCCCCCCCAGCUCGUGCCCCACUUUUUGGGUCCCGCUGUGGAGAAGCUGCGGAGCUGCGCCCGAAACCCACCGGAAACCCUGCCCCAAAAUGUCAUGGCGUGAGUGGGGGGCUGCCCCACAAGUGGGGGGCGGGACCCAUAAGUGUGGGGCUGGGACCCAUAAGUGUGGGGCUGACCCGUAAGUGUGGGGCUGGGACCCAUAGGUGGGGGGUUGGACCCAUAAGUGUGGGGCUGACUCAUAAGUGAGGGGCUGGGACCCAUAGGUGGGGGCUGGGACCCAUAAGUGUGGGUCUGGGACCCAUAGGUUGGGAGUGGGACCCAUAAGUGGGGGGUUCUGACCCAUAAGUGGGGCUGGGAGCCAUAAGUGAGGGAUGGGACCCAUAAGUGUGGGGCUGCCCCCUAAGUGUGGGCCUGGGACCCAUAAGUGGGGGCUGGGACCCCCAAGUGUGGGGCUGGGACCCAUAAGUGUGGGUCCAGCCCCAUAAGUGUGGCUCCCGCCCCACAAGUGUGGCUCCCAGCCCCAUAUGUGUGGAUCCAGCCCCAUAAGUGUGGGUCCAGCCCCAUAAGUGUGGCUCCAGCCCCACAAAUGUGCCUCCAGCCCCAUAAGUCUGGGUCCAGCCCCACAAAUGUGGGUCCCAGCCCAUAAGUGUGGGUCCAUCCCCAUAAAUGUGCCUCCAGCCCCAUAAGUGUGGCUCCAGCCCCAUAAGUCUGGGUCCAGCCCCACAAAUGUGGCUCCAGCCCCAUAAGUGUGGCUCCAGCCCCACAAAUGUGCCUCCCAGCCCCAUAAGUGUGACUCCAGCCCCACAAGUGUGGGUCCAGCCCCACAAAUGUGCCUCCAGCCCCAUAAGUGUCGCUCCAGCCCCAUAAUUGUGGGUCCAGCCCCACAAAUGUGCCUCCAGCCCCAUAAGUGUGGCUCCCAGCCCCACAAAUUUGCCUCCAGCCCCAUAAGUGUGGCUCCCACCCCAUAAGUGUGGGUCCCAGCCCCAUACGUGUGGCUCCAGCCCCACAAAUGUGGCUCCAGCCCCAUAAGUGUGG